GGGGACGACAUGGCUUCGACGUGGGUAGUGAAACCUGAGGUGCAUGCCGAGGUGCGGUUCCUCGUAAAUCCACUGCAAAACUUAUAGUUGCCAACGACGACAACUACGCUCUAGCUGCUUAAUAACCAGCUUAGUGCCCUCGGCCUGAUGUGUGCCUGUACACUCAGUCAACCGGGGUCGACUCUUACAGGAUCGCGAUGAAAGAUGUCUGGGCUGGAUUCGCUAAAACUUAACUAGACUCGCUGCUGGUCUUCCCUGCCUGUGGGGUAGCCUUCAGCUAAAUUAAUUUGCAGGAUAAGCAUGUAGAGCCAAAGGCGGAGGACUUACGGACGCGGGUUCGAUUCCCGCCGUCUCCACCA
Molecule: transfer-messenger RNA, 359 nt
Filed under: Gammaproteobacteria bacterium
Lineage: Bacteria; Pseudomonadati; Pseudomonadota; Gammaproteobacteria
Rfam family: transfer-messenger RNA
About the family: Bacterial tmRNA, also known as 10Sa RNA or SsrA, is named for its dual tRNA and mRNA-like properties. Its role is to liberate the mRNA from a stalled ribosome. To accomplish this part of the tmRNA is used as a reading frame that ends in a translation stop signal.
Source: RNAcentral